UCUGUUACCUGCCCUUACCGGACUCCCCUCCCUUCAUUUCUUCCCUCUCCUCUUUCAACCCGGUUCUCUCAACCUUUCAUUUUCCGCUUGUCUUUCUGCAACUUCAGGGACUCUUCCGAUCAGGUAAUCUCCUUUAUUACUCUUCAACGCUUCAGUUGCUAAGAUAUGCGCGAGACUAUUUGCUAAUCUUGGGACAUGCUCAAAACUGCAAUAUUUAGUAUUUAACAGUAGUUGAUGGAUGUCAUGAAUAUACGCACUAACCAUUGAUUUGUCUGGGCUUUUUGCUUUGCAUUUCCUUAUUAUUGAUAAAGAAUCUCCUUCAAUAACAACUUUUUUCCCACUUCAUGUAAACGCCGAUCUGGAGUGCUUUCCAACAUACGAGUGCCUCCGCCGCAAAGGCUGAUGGAACCUUCUGGCAAACCUCCGAGCAUGAUAGGAGAACUGUACCCUCUCUGUCUCUGGCCACUAUUCCAACAGCCGCUUUAUUUUGUCUACCUUCAAAUGCUGCUUCGAAAUUGAUCUUAACAACUUGGUCAGAUGGCUUUUUCCAUUCUUUAACAGAUAGCCCAUAAUGCAACGCAAAAUACCCGACACUGGGAUGUCGAGUUUUGUGAGAAAACCCAGGACAUUCACGGAAGAGAUGGUCCAUAGUUUCUGUUCCUGGGCCACAUCGGGGACAUACUGAUAUGUUUGUUAACCUUUUGAGUAGCAUAUUAGCACGUGUCGCUAGGAAAUUCCAUGAAAUCUUCCACACUGUAAUUUUUAUCUUCGAAAGAAGAUCAAGUGGCCAUCGUUUCCUGUAUAAGUCCUUAUAGUUGGUUUGUAAAGCAUAAGCUCUAGGAUCAUUAUCAGUACUUUGUAAUAGUUUAUAGGCGCUACGAACUGUGUACUCACCCGACGCAUCAACACUCCAGACUUGGAAAUCUUCGUGUGGUCUUUCUGCCAGCGGGAUACUGAGGAUCAUCUCGGCAACGUCCUUCGAAAAUGUAUACGUUAUCAAGUCCCUUUUCCAUGUUUUACUACUUGAAUCAAUUAACUCUGCAACUUUAAUAUCAUUCAA
This is a long non-coding RNA of Gossypium raimondii (Peruvian cotton), 1060 nucleotides long. RefSeq lists it as uncharacterized. The transcript is spliced from 3 exons. The record is from RefSeq and is a predicted model, not a curated record. NCBI's taxonomy places the organism in Eukaryota, Viridiplantae, Streptophyta, Magnoliopsida, Malvales, Malvaceae.